Molecule: non-coding RNA, 88 nt
Organism: Acanthosepion pharaonis
Lineage: Eukaryota; Metazoa; Mollusca; Cephalopoda; Sepiida; Sepiidae
Source: the annotation of a GenBank genome assembly
GGUUCCCAUAUGCUCACCAAAGUUAAGCUAUGUCAAGCCUGGUCAGUACCUAGAUGGAUGACCGCUUGGGAAUACAAAGUGCUGUAAG